UUGGAUAGAAACGUUAUUGCUAAGUUUCUAAGGAAAAGUUUCGGCCAAGGUUUUCUUUGCAUAGCAACGUGAUUGCUUCGAGCUUUUCACACGACUUGUUCCAUGUUUUGCCGCAAUUAACAUGUGUUAGAGGAUUGUCAAGAGAAUCGACUCAGGUAUGUUAAGGCUAUCCCUUCUUUCUUUUGGCAUGAUCCAUACGACACAAAUAAAACGUGCAAAUGCACAAUUUCCAUAAAUGACUCUAUUCAUAGAAAUAUUAGAGAUACUAAUGUUCUUGAUUCUCCAUGUGUCAUAUUAUUCUAUCAUCUAUUUAUGGGUCUCAGAAAAUACGUAAGUUGAUAAAGUUUAUUUUAUGAUAUUAAUCAGAAGCAUAAUGGUCUUAUGACGUACCGAGAGAUUUUAUUAACAUAUUUCAUAUGCAUUUCAUGCAUUUAUACAUGCACAUUGACCCAUGACAAGAUAGCGUUAUAUACGCGUAUAUAUAUAUGUAUAUAUAUAUAUAUGUAUAUGGGAUAUGGGAAAAGUUAUGGCGUUAUAUACGUAUCACCACCUGAUCAGCUGGUAUACGUUGACGAUUUUGCCCACAGUGGCCGAGAUGAUGUGAUGGGAUGCCUUCAGAGGCUUGAUGAUGUUAUGAACACAUGUACCUAUGCACAAACAUGACAUUCAUACGUAUAUGAAUGACACUAUAAGUACUUUAUGAUUUACAAAGUUAUUCAGACUUAGAGGUUGAGUCAUUUACUCUAUAUUCCUUUCAUGUCUUUUACGUACUUAUUUAUGUGCAUUACAUACUCGGUACAUUAUUCGUACUGACGUUCCUUUUUGCCUGGGGACGCUGUGUUUCAUGCCCGCAGGUCUCAAUAGACUGGUCAAGAGUUCUUAAAGUAGGUGAGCAGCUCAGCGGAAGAUGUUGGUGCACUCCAUUUGCUUCGGAGUUUCUUGUUUGGUCGGUAUGAUUUAGAUGUGUAUCGUUUGGUAUGGCGGGGCUCUGUCUUGGCCUUUAUGACCAUUAUGUAUCCGUAGAAGCUU
This 1029-nucleotide long non-coding RNA is filed under the name Nicotiana tabacum (common tobacco). RNAcentral's name for it is "long non-coding RNA (NTAB_LNC010629)". Lineage: Eukaryota; Viridiplantae; Streptophyta; Magnoliopsida; Solanales; Solanaceae. The record is from RNAcentral.